Molecule: ribosomal RNA, 484 nt
Filed under: uncultured bacterium
Lineage: Bacteria
Description: partial 16S ribosomal RNA
Rfam family: Bacterial small subunit ribosomal RNA
Source: RNAcentral
AUUGAACGCUGGCGGCAGGCCUAACACAUGCAAGUCGAGCGGAUGAAGGGAGCUUGCUCCUGGAUUCAGCGGCGGACGGGUGAGUAAUGCCUAGGAAUCUGCCUGGUAGUGGGGGAUAACGUCCGGAAACGGGCGCUAAUACCGCAUACGUCCUGAGGGAGAAAGUGGGGGAUCUUCGGACCUCACGCUAUCAGAUGAGCCUAGGUCGGAUUAGCUAGUUGGUGGGGUAAAGGCCUACCAAGGCGACGAUCCGUAACUGGUCUGAGAGGAUGAUCAGGCACACUGGGACUGAGACACGGUCCAGACACCUACGGGAGGCAGCAGUGGGGAAUAUUGGACAAUGGGCGGAAGCCUGAUCCAGCCAUGGCGCGUGUGUGAAGAAGGUCUUCGGAUUGUAAAGCACUUUAAGUUGGGAGGAAGGGCAGUAAGUUAAUACCUUGCUGUUUUGACGUUACCAACAGGAUAAGCACCGGCUAACUUCGUG